UAUGGCACUGGAAGAAUUCACG
Molecule: microRNA, 22 nt
Filed under: Tetranychus urticae (two-spotted spider mite)
Lineage: Eukaryota; Metazoa; Arthropoda; Arachnida; Trombidiformes; Tetranychidae
Description: tur-miR-263a-5p
Gene: tur-miR-263a-5p
Source: miRBase by way of RNAcentral